GAUGAACGCUGGCGGCGUGCCUAAUACAUGCAAGUCGAGCGAACGGACGAGAAGCUUGCUUCUCUGAUGUUAGCGGCGGACGGGUGAGUAACACGUGGAUAACCUACCUAUAAGACUGGGAUAACUUCGGGAAACCGGAACUAAUACCGGAUGAUAUUUUGAACCGCAUGGUUCAAAAGUGAAAGACGGUCUUGCUGUCACUUAUAGAUGGAUCCGCGCUGCAUUAGCUAGUUGGUAAGGUAACGGCUUACCAAGGCAACGAUGCAUAGCCGACCUGAGAGGGUGAUCGGCCACACUGGAACUGAGACACGGUCCAGACUCCUACGGGAGGCAGCAGUAGGGAAUCUUCCGCAAUGGGCGAAAGCCUGACGGAGCAACGCCGCGUGAGUGAUGAAGGUCUUCGGAUCGUAAAACUCUGUUAUUAGGGAAGAACAUAUGUGUAAGUAACUGUGCACAUCUUGACGGUACCUAAUCAGAAGGCCACGGCUAACUACGUG
Molecule: ribosomal RNA, 497 nt
Filed under: uncultured bacterium
Lineage: Bacteria
Description: partial 16S ribosomal RNA
Rfam family: Bacterial small subunit ribosomal RNA
Source: RNAcentral